CACAUAAAACGAAAACGGAGAUGUUAAAAAUAAAAUAGAGAAAACGGAAACAGUAAUUUAAAUUGCGAGUGGUAAUCAAGCGGAUUAGGCAUAGUUACAGUCCACGACUAUUUUUUGGCUUUCGGUAUAAAAAUAACAACAACAAUAGUCAACUACGCACCGACAACGGACACCAACACCAAGAACCAACACCGACACUGACACCGACGACCGACGUACGAUUAACGCCCUCCCUACGCUCCGCACUUUUGGCACCCGCACACACACACACUGACGCACACACGCAUACACUCCUCUCUACAAAUAAUCAUCAUCAUCAUCAUCAUCAUCAUUAUCAUCAUCAUUGCACAGGCGAAGGCACAAGGCACAUAAACACUCAUACACUUAUCUAUAUACCGCGUUUAUCAACGCCGCCCGUCGCCGCCACCGCUGCUGACCCACCACCCCCCACCAACCUGAUCCACAACAUCAACUUUGUUUGCUAUUGUUGUCUGCUGCUGCUGUCAUUUGUUUUGUUUCCUUAAAUGUGAACGCACACACACACACGCACGCACGCAAACACCUACACACACGCGCAAAAUACGAAGGAGCAAACAAAGACGACGGCUCGAAAAGAAAAAAAAAACUGCAACAAAACAACGGAACGAGAGAGCGAGAGUGACUCCAUUGAGAGCGAAAGCGAAAAUUGCAAUAGAGAGCGCAAGUGGAAAAGUGCAAGCUUAAAUAACAAAACGAUCAGCAAUCGCGGGGCGUAGGGCCAGUGGGGGGCAGAGGCCGUGCGAGAAAGUCAAACUCAAACUCUAUGGGUCAAAAGGCAAGCACACCAGCGACCAGCGGCCAGCAGAGCCCACGCUCCAGAACAUUUUCCAGCAGCUCAACGGGUGCAACCGCAACCGACACAACGCCGCAAAGUUCAGCGGUCGGUGGCCGCGGCGGCGAUGCCGGUCAGGGUUUUAACUUGCUGCGCACACUGCCGGGUCUACAGGUCUAUCACCAUCAUCAUAAUCAGCAGAACUCCACGUCCAUAGAUCGACAGCGUGCUCGCAGCCUUAGCUCUGUGCCAGAUAUACAACAACAGCAGCAGCAGCAGCAACAACAACAACAACAACAACAACAACAACAACAACAACAACAGCAGCAGCAGCAACAACAACAGCAGGGAUCCACAACGUAUCCGCACACACAUCCCGCCGUCUCAGUCUCUGUGUCAGCUAAUUCAAAUAGCAAUAGUUUUCAAGUGGCAGCCGGCAACAACAACGGCUCAUCGGCUGCCGCACAAAGCUACAUGCAACAGCGACGCGCUUUUGGUGACUCAAUACGCGAGAUGUCCAUGACCGGCGCCAAUAUCGUUGAGAGCAUCGCAAUGGCCGCAUCUGCAACAUCUGCGAAUGGCAUCGGUCGUGUUUACACAGCGACAUCGCUACCAUCGCACAUUUGGUCCUUCAAUGGCAUCAAGUGUCCCGUGUGCAAUAAGUUCGUGUUGCCAGACGAUAUUGAAUGCCAUUUAGUUAUGUGCCUAACAAAACCCAGACUCUCAUAUAAUGAGGAUACAUUAUUGGACGCCAAGGGCGAGUGCGUCAUAUGCCUUGAAGACUUGAGUCCAGGUGAUACAAUUGCUCGAUUGCCAUGUCUAUGCAUAUACCACAAAGGCUGCAUUGAUCGUUGGUUUGAGGUGAAUCGCUCCUGUCCCGAGCAUCCAGGAGAUUAGUAAAAGUCUCAUUAGAGCUCGUUAAGUCGUUUAACGUCUAAGUGGGCAGUGCGUAGAGCGAGUGCCAUAAACAAAACUGGAUGAUAGACGACUUUUCAGCAAGCAUUUGUUAGCAACAAAAAGCCAACAUUGUAAAGAUCAUCAAUUGUUAAAUGGAAUGGAAAGUGAAGUGAGAGGAGAGGCUACGACAAGCAAAAUCUGGAUCGAGCGAUCGAUCGUUUUGACCUACCGACCGACUGUUUAUGCAAAUCCACAAAAAAAACAAACACAAAUCAAUUGAAACAAAUUAAUUUACAAUGCUAUCAUAACUAGAAAGUGCAACGUCAACAAACAAAGGACAAAGGACAAAAGUGAACGAAACCAACCAACCCACAAAAAAAACAAAAACAAAACAAAAAAGAAACAAAUAAAGCUAAAUCAACACGAUGUUAAGAAUGAUGUAAAGAUAAAGUUAAUGAUGAUGAAAGUGCAUGAAAGCGAAGCAACCAACCAACCAACAAAAGAAUGUCAACCAAUGUGAUGUUAAAUUUUAUAUUUUGUACUAUGGAUAUGAUGUAAUUGUAAUGUAAUGUAUAUGUAUGUAUGUAUUUAUUAUUUUAAAAAAC
Molecule: RNA transcript, 2313 nt
Organism: Drosophila novamexicana
Lineage: Eukaryota; Metazoa; Arthropoda; Insecta; Diptera; Drosophilidae
Gene name: E3 ubiquitin-protein ligase znrf2
Exons: 7
Source: RefSeq, a predicted model, not a curated record